This 6335-nucleotide long non-coding RNA is filed under the name Sus scrofa (pig). Its description in RNAcentral is "lncRNA (ENSSSCG00015076899.1)". Lineage: Eukaryota; Metazoa; Chordata; Mammalia; Artiodactyla; Suidae. The record is from RNAcentral.
UUUUUUUUUUUUUUUUUUAGGACAACACCCACGGCAUAUGGAGGUUCCCAGGCUAGGGGUUGAAUUGGAGCUACAGCUGCCAGCCUACACCGUAGCCACAGCAACAGUGGGAUCCAAGCUGCAUCUGCAACCUACACCACAGCUCACAGCAACACCAGAUCCCCAACCACUGAGCAAGGCCAGGGAUCGAACCUACAUCCUCAUGGGAUGUAGGUUCCACUGGGCCACAAUGGGAACUCCUUAAAUUUCUUUUAAAUCCUUCUCUGGAGCCCAUCUGCCCUACGUGGAGCUCCUUGAAGGAUGGAUUAUGAGUAUCUUCUAUGUCACGUUUCUCUGUUGUAGCUGCAAGGUGAUGAGGGAUCAGCACCCAUGAAAGGAAGAGAGGAAGCAGGAUGGGGCAGAAGGAGCUUGGUACCAACUCAGCAAACCUGUUUCAGCCCUGCAGGGAGCUCUGCAGCCACUGGAGCCCAUCAGUUUGGGGCCAGAAGGACCAGGCCUUUCUACCCAGACUCCCUGUCACUGGGCAUAAACUCUCCUGGCAAGGCAUUGGCGUCGAGCCCCUCCUUGAUGUGGAGAUGAACCCCCUAGACCCCCAUCUAAGCAUCUCCCUUUCUGCACAAGGUUGCUCUUGGCUGACUCUAUUCUGGGUCCCGGCUGUGGAAGCCAAGGGUGACACCCCCUCAUCCCUGGGGAGGGUGCCAGUGGUGCCCCUGCUGCUUUCACAGGGGACAGUGGGGUGGUUUUAUCAUGGGUCACUUUAGUUUAUCUAGAGGUGGGUCUGGGUCAGUUUGCAAUGUGAACUGGCCAUGAAAGGCUGGGCUGGAAACUCUCAGCCCCUUUCUGCCACCUCUACUUCCUCGCUCCCCAAAACAGCUAGACUCAGAUGGAGACAUCAGGACAGAGGCCCGGGGGAAUCCUCCUUGGGCAGAGAGCUAGUAGUUAAAGAGCAGUAAAUGCAUUCGGAAACUGGAUAAUUAGAUCAACAGCAAUAAUAAGUUGAGAGUUGGCUGCAAGGCAGCCCUUCCGGGAGGGGAAAAUGCGUCCUCUCUCUUGGUUGCUUUUCUCCUUUUUGAUCACCUGGAACGGUUCGGGAGCUGGAGAAUGUUGUCUGCCCUUCACCCAUGAGUGCUCUGGCCAGCUCCCAGCUCCUGUGGGUUCCUGUUUUUGAGAGUGUCAAUAGCAGGGGAACCCUACUUGCCCCGCUGUCUGGCCCAGAGGCCAAGGAAUGGCCAAUAUGAGCCUGAGAGCAGCAGUGCUCAGGAUUCCUAUCUGUGUCCACUCCUCCAGCUCUGGGUGCUUGACUAGAGGCUGAGCUGUGUGGCAGGCUGCACACCUGGCCCGAUGGUUUUGGUCCCCCACCUGGCUUCACCUGCAGCCAGCUGGCCUCCUUGUUCCUUGUCUCCCUGAGACCAGCCCGGACAGGUGAGGCCAUGUUGCCCACCUCUUCUUCCCAGCUCUAGUCAGGAAAGCAACUAGGGCAGCACCUGGGUGGUUAGAAAUCCCCAAAUGACCCUCAGGAUUGAGAUAAGCCCAUCCCCAUGGGCACUGGGCCCAAAGUCCCCCGACUCUCAGGAUCCCAAGUGUGGGGACCCAAGGUUCUAUGGCCUCAAAGUUGUCCAGGCUUUGCCCCCAAGAGCCACUUUUUCCCAGGACCUGCAAUUGGCCAUGCUGUAUACCACCUCUCAGGGCAUGUCCCACUCUAAGGGGCUCCUUGCAUAGCUUACAGCAUUGCUCAUCAGAUGGGGUGGUGACAUUCUGCUGACAGAUAUUAAAGCUGUUCUGGUUUCACUCCCAGAAGCACCUGUCAGCAGAGUUUUGACCAACUCCCAAGUCCUCCUGCACUGUCCCAGGGGAGCUGCUUGCCAGAUGAUGCUGGUGAUGCUGCUGAGGCAAGAGCCUAGUGGUGUCUCACCUCUGCAUCUGUCAGUGAGGUCCCCUUAGGGAACAGGUGUCUCACUCAAGUUGGGAUCAUUCAGUAAGGGCUUGUUUCCAAAAAAGCUGUUGGGAUGGGUGGGGGGUGGUAGGGGAACCACAGGAGUGGUCACUAACAAGCAGCUGUUACCAUCCCUGGGCCCUGCAUUUGGGGGUGGGGAUGGAGAACAAGCUUGAAAGAAAAGUCACUUCUUAACAGUGCCCUUUGGUCAAGGGCACAGACAGGUAGAAAUGACCUGCCUCCUCUGCUCUGAUAUCCUGCCCAGGCUCCUCAUGGACGGAACUCAACCAGGAGGCAGUGACAGAGUCCAUCCAGAUAGCUCAGCCUCCCAGGGAAGAAGGGGUAGGAGCUCAAGGAACAUGUGGAACACAUCUAGGACCAGGAUCCCCUCAUUUUCUCUUCAUUUUGUAUGUGACCCCAUCAAAUUUCACUCCCAAGAAUUGGCUAAAAGGCUGUUUCUUCAUUCUGUGCAUGUAUGAUCUAUUGCCCUGCUGCAGAUUAGUCUAAAAGUUACAGCUUAGCAUUCUGUCAGUUUUUGCAGAUCAGGAAUCCAAGGCAGCUAAGCUGGGUGGUUCUGGCUUAGGGCAGCUCAGGGUGUUGCAGUCAUCUGAAGGCUUGACUGUGGCUGGAGGAUCUGUUCCCAAGGCACCUGGCACACACUUCUGGUGAGGUGUGACCAGCUCACCCUGGUUUUCCCAGGACUGUUGAUGUACUGGAUAUGACUCCUGUGACUUUCUACAUUGGAGGAGUUGACUGUUCAAAUAGACCUGAUGGCCCUCAGAUCCUAAAAUGUUUAGAAUCUGUUGCUUUCCAGAAGACUUGCCAACCCUUGACACACGACCAUGCUAAGAAUCACUCCAGAGGAGAUGCAACAGUGUGCCUGGGUGCAAAGACCCCCCCCCCAAAUGCCUCUCAGGACUGAGCUAAGCCCAUUCCAUGCAUUCUGGGUCAUAUACCGAGUCUCCGGAUGUCACCUGGCUAGGGCUUCCAAAGCUCUGAAGCCUGGUCAUCCUAAAUCCAUGCUAUAGUGCACAUCAGACAGGUGCUACCAGAUGUAGCAUGAUAUUCAAGAAACCUCUUUAAGUCAGAUGGUGCUGGUGGCCUGCCCAUGUCCCCUGGCUUUCUCUACUUCAGUGUACUCAAGCCCAACUUUAAUCACACUGAUGACUCUCCAUCUGGAGCUUUCUCUGGCUGUUGAAACCCGGCACACAGCAGCCUAGGAUGGGGCAGGGAGUAAACAUCACAGGGAGCAGCCCUCAGCCAGUAAAUAACAGAGGCUGAUGUCAGAAAACCCCAGCUGCCUAGAUCCUCAUGUUCUCCAAAUGCCCCACAGUGGUGAUGGGUUUGGUAACUUAUGGGCUGCCUUUCUUCUUUUGUCUCCUUUCUCAAACUUUGUCAGUAUUUUCCCACUCACCUCCCAAAUGCCUUCCUCUCAUCUUUUAUCUUGGGGGUCCUUCGCACACGACCCAACCUAGGACACUGGGCCCCUCAACCUGGGGUAGCCUGAAAGUCUGAGACCUGGCACGGACAGCUGAUACCAAUGUCUGAUCUUGCCACUUAGCUGUUGUGACUUUGGUUAGAAAGCAGAAUGAGUUUGCCUGGUUUUCAUCUAUAGAAUAGGAAUACCCCAUCAUGAAAUCCUGACUGACUGAGACUAAUUAGACUAGUUAGAAAACCUGCCCCCGACCACCACCACCAAGUUCUUUUGCUAUGACUCCCCCGACUCUGGACUCCUGCCUGGAGUCCUCUGCCUUUGCUCCUGCUCUGCACACAAUAACUGCCACCACUUUGCCUCCUGCUGUUGGUGCUGCAGGACAAGAUCACCGACCUGCAGGUGAUGAGUGGGUCUAUCAAGAACAAGGAUGAGAAAAUAGCCCCUGACAUUUGCUCCAUCUGGAAGAUCCUGAGACUUGUGCUUUCCUACCUCUAUGGGGCAAGUAGCUGUAACUGGCAAGCAUACAGUUCUCUGGGAUUCAAGAUACCAAACUGGCGGGGGGGGGGGGGCGUUCCUGUUGUGGCUCAGUGGUAAUGAACCCGAUUAGUAUCCAUGAGGAUGCAGGAUCAAUCCCUGGCCUCGCUCAGGGGAUUAAAGGAUCCUGUAUUGUUGUGUGCUGUGUUGUAGGCAGACAUGGUGUGGAUAUGGCGUAGGCCAGCAGCUGCAGCUCCAGCUCAACCCCUAGCCUGGGAACUUCCAUGUGCCAAGGGUGUGGCCCUAAAAAGCUCCCCCCCCCAAAAAAAAGAUAGGAGUGGGCUUAAGAGAGGUUCUUUGGCUGCCUGAGCCUGAGGGCAAGUCAAUCUGCCAAAUUUAUCAUCACGUUUCCAGGUCUGAUGAUGUCAAGUCUACUGGUGUUCUUCCUCAGAAGCAGCAGUGGGAGGGGCAUUCCAGGGGUUUCAGAACCCAGUAGAGAGAUACCUGCAAGCAAGGGGCAUAGCUGGUAUGUCUAGAAUAUAAUAUGCCUUAACUGAAUUCUUGAAUUGUGGGGAUCUUACUCAUUUUAUUCUGGUGGAUGCUGACCUAACAUUGCUCCAUGGCUUGAACUCUGAUGGGUAGAACUGCAAAAUGUCAUCUUGGCACUAAGGGUGACAGUCCAUCCCUGGGGCUAGGGUGAGGGCUACAGAGAAAGGGGGGUGGGUGAUAAUGGUCUCUCCUAGUAGGAAACAUUAGAACUAAUUAAGGAUGCAGGAUAGGACCUUCAAAGGUGGAUGGAUAAAGUAAGAGACCAGAUGAGAAUUCUAGGUAGGAUAUACUCCAGGAAGGAUUUCUGUAGGUGAAGAAUGUCAAGCAAGGCUGAGAGAGAAGGAUGGAACCAGGGAGAAAGGCAUGCUGGCAGGAAGAGGACGGCAAAAGUUUUUAUGAAGAAGCAUUUCGGAACCUCAGGAAGACUUUGGAGGAUGAUUGGAUGGUCAAAUAAGGCAUGUGGCUUUCAAAUCAGUCUUGGGUUUGAAUUUGACCCAACCACUCAUGAGCAGAGAGAGCUAGGGCAAUGUUUAUGAUUUCCACUCUAGUCAUCAGUUUUUUUAAAGAAAAAAAAUAUAUAUAUAUAUAAAGUGGGAAUUCAUAACUACCCCCCAAGGGGGUUUUGAAAGGAUUACAGCAGCCAACAUGGGUUGACUGUCCAGCAUGGUGCCUGGUGCAUUACAGAUGAUCAGGAAGUGGUGCCAUUAUUGGUCUGUGUGUGACCUGAGGAAGAUGGGUGAGUGUUUCUGCACAGCCCUGACAGUAGAAAUUAUAGGAAGGCAGACUAGUUUGGCUUUAGAAGGAAUUCUCUGGCUUUCAGGGCUGUGUGAAUAAAGAAUGGGGGUCGGGGGUCCUCCUCCAUUAUUGGAGCAGCUGCAGGCUCACUCUUUGGUGGGCCUGCUGUCAAGGGUUUUGAGACUGCCUUGGAUGGGUGGUCUGAUGAGAAAACUGUGGUGACUCCAAACUGAGUGAUGUGCGUGAAUCUUGAUUUUUGGAGAUGCUGAGGGGAUCCUGUUCUAACCAAAAGCUCUGAAAACAAUUUUGUUUCUAAAUCUCUUCCUGUUUGAGCCUUGUAUCUUACUGCCUGAUCAAGGAUUUUCAUUAGAAGAAGUGAAGUAGAUAAUAGGUAUGAAAAAUGUUUUGACCUCCUUUAAGAUAGUUGCUGGAAUGUAAUUUCAUUUUAUUACAAAUUGAGAUUCUGUGAGGUAGUCAUGCCCAACCUAGACAUGUUCUUGAACCUGAGCAAAUUUAAUCAUUUAAAUGCACUGGGAGAGAGCUUGCUGUUUAAUUCACACUGGAGGAUGAUUCUUGUGGAAAAGGAUUCAUAGCAACAUGGCUGGAUUUGUAUAUACUGGACUUAAAGUGACUUGUGAACACCAUUUUCCAAAUACGUAUUGUAAAAUGAAAGUUGUGUUCUUGUGAGGGUGAGGGGAUCUUUAGGAUCAUUAGGAAAGGACAUACAGCAUGCCAUGUAGAUCCUGACAUCUCCCUAAAAGGUCUUGCCUGUGCCUUCACUAGCUCAUCCUCUGGGUUGUGCAAAUCUAAUGUGAUACCAACUGAGGCAGAACCUGGGAUCCCUCCCACUUCCCUUGGACCUUUAGAGUAUCAGGACUGACUUCCAACUGUCCUCUCAACAUCUCUGUGCCUAAGAGCUUUUGCUGAAAUUACAGGGCAAUUGACAUCCCUCAAGGAGUUCCUGUUGUGGCUCAGUGGUAAUGAACCUGACUAGUAUCCAUGAGGACUUGGGUUUGAUCUCCAGCCUCACUCAGUGGGUUAAGGAUACAGUGUUGCCAUGGGCUGUGGGGUAGGUCACAGGCAAGGCUUGGACCCCUCAUAGCUGUGGCUGUGGCUGUGGUUGGUGGCUGCAGCUCUGAUUGGACCCCUAGCCUGGGAACUUCCAUAUGCUGCAGGAACACAACCCUAAAAAGACAAAAAAAAAAAAAA